AGUCCUACGGGAGGCAGCAGUAGGGAAUCUUCCACAAUGGACGAAAGUCUGAUGGAGCAACGCCGCGUGAGUGAAGAAGGGUUUCGGCUCGUAAAGCUCUGUUGGUAGUGAAGAAAGAUAGAGGUAGUAACUGACCUUUAUUUGACGGUAAUUACUUAGAAAGUCACGGCUAACUACGUGCCAGCAGCCGCGGGAAUACGUAGGUGGCAAGCGUUGUCCGGAUUUUUUGGGGGUAAAGCGAGUGCAGGCGGUUCAAUAAGGUUUA
This 265-nucleotide ribosomal RNA is filed under the name uncultured bacterium. RNAcentral's name for it is "partial 16S ribosomal RNA". It matches the Rfam family "Bacterial small subunit ribosomal RNA", at positions 335 to 592 of the family's 1533-position model. The record is from RNAcentral.